This is a long non-coding RNA of Melospiza georgiana, 229 nucleotides long. RefSeq lists it as uncharacterized. The record is from RefSeq and is a predicted model, not a curated record. NCBI's taxonomy places the organism in Eukaryota, Metazoa, Chordata, Aves, Passeriformes, Passerellidae. The transcript has 3 exons.
GGCAGAUAUUUUCUCCUCUUCCAGAGCUUUUCCAGUGCAGCAGCAGCACUCCUGUCCAGCAGGUCUCGAUUGACUGCAGAAAGGAGAAGGGAGGAGCGUGUCAAAAGGAGGACAGAUCCUGCCAGGGUUUCCUGGCAAAUGAGGUCUAUCCACUGUUUGGAAGAUGAAACCUGAUGAGCUGCAAUUUGGGUUGGAUUACAGUAUUUCAGAAGACUUUCUGAACUUGCCA